Molecule: ribosomal RNA, 253 nt
Filed under: uncultured bacterium
Lineage: Bacteria
Description: partial 16S ribosomal RNA
Rfam family: Bacterial small subunit ribosomal RNA
Source: RNAcentral
UACGGAGGGGGCAAGCGUUAUCCGGAUUCACUGGGCUUAAAGGGUGCGUAGGUGGGCAAGUAAGUCAGUGGUGAAAUCUCCGGGCUUAACCCGGAAACUGCCAUUGAUACUAUUUGUCUUGAAUACUGUGGAGGUCAGCGGAAUAUGUCAUGUAGCGGUGAAAUGCUUAGAUAUGACAUAGAACACCAAUUGCGAAGGCAGCUGGCUACACAAAUAUUGACACUGAGGCACGAAAGCGUGGGGAUCAAACAGG